GUGCCAGCAGCCGCGGUAAUACGUAGGGAGCGAGCGUUGUCCGGAUUUACUGGGCGUAAAGGGCGCGUAGGCGGUCUGUUAAGCGUGAAGUGAAAUCUCCAGGGCUCAACCCGGAAACUGCUUUGCGAACUGGCAGACUAGAGGAAGGUAGAGGUAAGUGGAAUUCCCGGUGUAGCGGUGACAUGCAUUGAUACCGGGAGGAACACCCAUGGCGAAGGCAGCUUACUGGACCUUAUCUGACGCUGAGGCGCGAAAGCGUGGGUAGCAAACAGGAUUAGAAACCCGGGUAGUCC
RNAcentral lists this ribosomal RNA (293 nucleotides) under uncultured bacterium. Its description in RNAcentral is "partial 16S ribosomal RNA". It matches the Rfam family "Bacterial small subunit ribosomal RNA", at positions 505 to 796 of the family's 1533-position model. The record is from RNAcentral.